This 440-nucleotide ribosomal RNA is filed under the name uncultured bacterium. RNAcentral's name for it is "partial 16S ribosomal RNA". It matches the Rfam family "Bacterial small subunit ribosomal RNA", at positions 338 to 795 of the family's 1533-position model. The record is from RNAcentral.
CCUACGGGUGGCAGCAGUGAGGAAUAUUGGGCAAUGGGGGCAACCCUGACCCAGCCAUGCCGCGUGAGUGAAGAAGGUCUUCGGAUUGUAAAGCUCUUUCGGACGUGACGAUGCUGACGGUAGCGUCUAAAGAAGCACCGGCGAACUACGUGCCAGCCGCCGCGGUAAUACGAAGGGUGCGAGCGUUGUCCGGAUUUACUGGGGGUAGAGGGAGUGUAGGCGGAUAUGUAAGAUAGCGGUGAAAUGCCGGGGCUCAACCCCGGAACUGCCAUUAUGACGAUGUAUCUAGAGUAAUGGAGAGGAUAGCGGAAUACCCAGUGUAGAGGUGAAAUUCGUAGAUAUUAGGUAGAACACCGGUGGCGAAGGCGGCUAUCUGGCCAUUUACUGACGCUGAGGCUCGAAGGCAUGGGGAUCAAACAGGAUUAGAUACCCUUGUAGUC